Molecule: non-coding RNA, 29 nt
Filed under: Homo sapiens (human)
Lineage: Eukaryota; Metazoa; Chordata; Mammalia; Primates; Hominidae
Source: RNAcentral
UGGAGGAUGCGGUAUUCUGAUUGUCUGGU